AUACAUAUAAGUGUUAUUAGCUAUUAAAUUAUAUAGUAAUAUUAAAAGAGAUUGCGUUUCUAUCUGGGCAUAAUGAGUGCAUAGAGAUCGAUGUGUAAAACACCGAUGGCUCCUCGGCAAUUUUCUGAAACUCCUUCAAAAAGAAGUUUAUAGCAAAUAUGCAGGCGAAGAGAACAACUAAUCCGGAGAACGCAAUACGACCAAAGAGUAUGGAGAAUAUGUUGAGUUUAUAAUAAGGCACAAAUGCCAUGUCGUGAUCCGUCAUUCGCAUAUGCGGAGCUCCCUUGUGCCUUAGUACGUAUUCUGUCCACCAGAUGGCUCUCUCGAGGGCAGUCGUUGGUUGGUCGCGAAAACGCGUCGACAGCUCCUUGGCCUUAAGCGCAUAUAUGGGAUUCUGCAGAAGUUCUUUGAUGUUAUUCGUCAAAAGUUCCACUGUUAAAGUGUUAAUAUCCAGUUUACGAGCCACACCCAUCUUUAGCAUGCGCUCCACAUUGUCGAAUUGAUCGAAAUAGAUGGGCAAGGCCAACAUAGGCACUCCAGAGUGUGCUGCCUCAGUGGUGCUCAACAAGCCGCCAUGUGUGAUGAAUAGCUUCAUGUUCGGGUGCUCCAGCAGCUGACGCUGCGAAGCCAUGGGGCUCAAGAAGACGUUAUCCGACUUGUUGACCAUUGUAUGCAUCUCGUGUUUCCACACGACUCGCUGCUUCAGUUGUGAAAAGGUCUGCUGCAUCUUUUGUUCCAUAUUUUUGGGCAGCCAUCUGUUCAGAAUCUCCAUGCCCAUGGAAAAGUAAAUGACACCGUGCUCCGCCCCAUUAACAAAGUCCAGCAACUCCGGCUCGAGCGAUUCACUGGGUUCAGCCAUAUGCAUUCCCGCUACUUCGAUAACAUUCGGCACAUUGGAGCGAACGCGACCGAGGCUAAAGUGUUGAUUGAUCAUAAUCAGAGAAUAGCUUGUGCGUCGCUCGAAUAAACGCGACGAUGGCAGUUGAAAGUGUCGUGUGAACAGCUCCAGUUGUCCAGCGAAUCACCAUGAGAAUAGCCCAUUGGUUGUAUGGGUCUGUAAACACUUGGCGCCGAGUUUCCAGCCAAAUGAUCAAUCAACCAAGAGGAACCAAACGUAGACAAACCAACGAGGGAAGCAUUAAAAUGCUCUGCGAAUCCAAUAAGCGCAUCAGAAUACGUUGGCUCUACGACAAUCAUGUCGAAAUGCUCGGAUUUAUCAUGUAGCAACGAUUGCACUCCUGAAUCACUGAGAAUGGCGUGUGACAUGUUGUAAUGAAAGCUGGAGGCUACUAAAGAUUCCUUCCAUUUGCUGUACAAGCAAUCUGAAUAAUCAAAGUUCAUGAUGUCUGCAAAUGUAUAAAACGCCAAAGGCUCCUCCCGAAUUCUCUGAAGCUUCUUCCAGAUGAAAUGUACAACAAAAGCACAAGCGAGGACAAUAACGAAUGCAGAAAACGCAAUGCGAGCAAGAAGGACCGAGAAUAUAUUGAGUUUAUAGUACGGCGCAAAGGAAAUGUCAUCUUCUACCAUUCGCAUGUGAGGAGCUCCUUUGUGCCUUAGUACAUACUCCGUCCACCACAUGGCUGCCUCCAAUGGAGAGGUUGGUUGAUCGCGAAAGCGUUUGGACAUCUCCUCGGCCUUGAGCGUGUAAAUUGGAUUCUCUAGCAGUUCCUUAAUAGUACUCAUUACCUGCUCCUCUGUCAGAGUGUUGAUAUCCAACUUACGGGCUACGUCCAUCUUCACCAUACGUUCCACAUUAUCAAACUGAUCGAAAUAGAUGGGCAAACCCAACAUGGGAACUCCCGAGUAUGCUGCCUCGAUCGUGCUCAGAAGGCCGCCGUUUGUGAUGAAGAGCUUCACGUUGGCAUGUUCCAGCAGCUGACGUUGAGGUACAUUAUGACUCAAGUAGAUGUUUUCCGACUUAUUAAGCAUCGUGUGCUCUUCGUGCUUCCACACGACUCGCUGCUUCAGCUGUGCAAAAGUCUGCAGCAUCUUUUGUUCAAUGUUCUUCGGGAGCCAUCUGCUAAGAAUCUUCAUGCCCAUGGAAAAGUAAAUGACGCCGUGCUCCGCACCAUUCACAAAGUCAAGUAACUUUGGCUCAAGUGGCUCACUGGGCUCAGCCAUAUGUAUGCCAGCCACCUCAAUAACAUUGGGCACAUUGGAGCGAACGCGACCGAGGCUAAAGUGCUGAUUGAUCAACAUCAGGGAAUAGCUUGUGCGUCGCUCGAAUAAACGCGACGAUGGCAAUUGAAAGUAUCGUGUGAACAACUCCAGUUGUCCAGAGAAUCUCCAUGAGAAUAGCCGAUUGGCUGCACGGGUCUAUAGACACUUGGUGCCGAGUUUCCGGCUAAAUGAUCGGUCAACCAAGAGGAGCCAAACGUGGACAAUCCAACCAAGGAGGCACCAAAGUGCUCUGCGAAGCCAAUAAAAGCUUCCGAGUGCGUUGGCUCUAAGACGAUCAUGUCAAACUUUUCGGAUUUGUCGUGUAGCAGCGAUUGCACUCUUGAAUCGCUGAGAAUUCCGAUCGAAACGUUGUAAUAGAAACUGGAGGAUACCAACGAUUCUUUCCAUUUGCUGUAUAAACACUCUGAAAAAUCAAUGUUCAUGACAUCUAUGGGUAAAACACCGAAGGCGUCUCAGUGUUUCUUUGAAACUCCUUUAAAAAGAAGUUCACAACAAUAAUGCAGACGAGGAGAACAACGAACGCAGAGAACGCAAUGCGACUGAAGAGUACCGAGAAUAUGUUGAGUUUAUAAUAAGGCACAAAUGCCAUAUCCUGAUCCGUCAUUCGCAUGUGAGGAGCUCCCUUAUGCCUUAGUACGUAUUCUGUCCACCAGAUGGCGCUCUUAAUGGGACUUGUUGGCUGAUCCCGGAAGCGCUUGGACAUCUCCUUGGCCUUGAGCGUGUAAAUUGGAUUCUCUAGCAGUUCCUUGAUAUUACUCAUCAACUGCUCCUCUGUGGGAUUGUUAAUAUCCAGCUUACGAGCUAUGCCUACCUUCACCAUACGUUCUACAUUAUCAAACUGAUCAAAAUAGAUGGGCAUGCCCAACAUGGGAACUCCCGAGUAUAUUGAUUCGAUGGUGCUAAGGAGACCGCCGUUUGUGAUGAAGAGCUUCAUGUUGGGAUGUUCCAGCAGCUGACGCUGAGGUGCUAAGGAAGUCAAGUAGACGUUAUCCGACUUGUUAGGCAUUGCGUGCACAUCGUGCUUCCACACGACUCGCUGCUUUAGCUGUGAGAAUGUCUGGAGCAUCUUUUGUUUCAUGGUUUUGGGCAGCCAUGCUGUAAGAAUCUCCAUGCCCAUGGAAAAGUAAAUGACGCCGUGCUCCGCUCCAUUCACGAAGUCCAGCAACUCUGGUUCGAGCGGUUCACUGGGCGCUGCCAUAUGUAAACCGGCCACCUCGAUAACGUUGGGCACAUUCGACCGAACACGACCGAGGCUAAAGUGCGUAUUAAUCAUCAUAAGUGAGUAAGAUGUGCGCCGCUCUAAUAAAAGUGAUGAUGGAAGAUGAAAGAACUGUGUAAAAAAGUUCAACCUGGCCAGUGAAUUCCCAUGAGAAUAACCCAAUGGUUUGACGGGCUUGUAAACACUUGGCGCCGAGUUACCAGCUAGAUGAUCGGUCAACCAAGAGAAUCCAAAAGUCGACAAACCAACCAGAGAAGCAUUAAAGUGCACUGCGAAGCCGAUGAGAGCGUCGGAAUGCGUUGGCUCCAAAACGAUCAUGUCGAAGUGCUCGGAUUUAUCUUUUAGUAGCGAUUGCACUCCCGAAUCGCUGAGAAUGGCGUGUGACAUGUUAUAAUGAAAUCUGCAGGAUACCAAAGAUUCCUUCCACUUGCUGUUAGACCACUCUGAAUGAUCAAACGUCAAGACAACUGCAAAACACCGAAGGCUCUUCAGCGAUUCUUAGAAACUCCUUCGAGAUAAACUUCACAACAAUCACGCAGAUGAGGAGAACAAGGAUUGCA
This is a long non-coding RNA of Drosophila nasuta, 3960 nucleotides long. RefSeq lists it as uncharacterized. NCBI's taxonomy places the organism in Eukaryota, Metazoa, Arthropoda, Insecta, Diptera, Drosophilidae. The transcript is spliced from 8 exons. The record is from RefSeq and is a predicted model, not a curated record.